RNAcentral lists this transfer RNA (76 nucleotides) under Candidatus Woesearchaeota archaeon. RNAcentral describes it as "tRNA-Arg". It matches the Rfam family "tRNA". Rfam says of the family: Transfer RNA (tRNA) molecules are approximately 80 nucleotides in length. The record is from RNAcentral. Lineage: Archaea; Nanobdellati; Candidatus Woesearchaeota.
GGGUGCGUAGCUCAGCUUGGAUUAGAGCACUAGCCUUCUAAGCUAGGGGUCGAGGGUUCAAAUCCCUUCGCGCCCG